This 537-nucleotide long non-coding RNA is filed under the name Nicotiana benthamiana. Its description in RNAcentral is "long non-coding RNA (NBEN_LNC041372)". The record is from RNAcentral. Lineage: Eukaryota; Viridiplantae; Streptophyta; Magnoliopsida; Solanales; Solanaceae.
UUCUUUGUAAAUAAAGAUGUUGUAUUAAAGGAACACAUCUUUCCUUUUAGACACUUAAAGUCUCAGUUCCUAUCCUCCACAAAUUCCGCACUUAAUUCUCCUUCAGUGUCUUCUCCUGCUUUGUCUACACCUGACUCUUUCUCUUAGACUUUUGUUGAUUCUUCAUCAGCACCUGAACCUCAUUAAUCCUGAACUCCCUUCCCUGAUGGAUUCAGCACCACCUUCCCGGAAUCACUAAUCUUCUUCUUCUCCACUUUCUCCUUUGCCACCUGACACUACUACUCCAUUUCCUUCCCCUGAACCUAUACCUGCUCCACCCAGAAGAUCAGAUAGACCUCUCUAACCUUCUAUCAAGUUCAUAGAUAUGUACAUCCCCUUGGACUUCUACUUCCUCUGCUUACCCUAUACAUCAGUUUGUCUCUUAUUCACACCUACAUGCUCAUUUUCAAUAGUUUCUAGCCUACAUCUCUUCAGACACAAAACCCUUUACCUUCUCUCAAGCUAUUAAGGAUGAAAGAUGGGUUGAAGAAAUAAAGC